GAUGAACGCUAGCUGGAGGCUUAAUACAUGCAAGUCGAGCGGGAUUGGUAGCAAUACCAUGAGAGCGGCGCACGGGUGAGUAACGCGUACACGACCUACCUCUGACAGGGAGAUAGCCCUGGGAAACUGGGAUUAAUACCGCAUAUUAUUCUGAUUAAUAAAGGAUUGGAAUGAAAGUUCAGGCGGUCAGAGAUGGGUGUGCGUCUGAGUAGCUAGUUGGGGGGGUAACGGCCUACCAAGGCGAUGAUCAGUAGGGGGCGUGAGAGCGUGGUCCCCCACACGGGUACUGAGACACGGACCCGACUCCUACGGGAGGCAGCAGUAAGGAAUAUUGGACAAUGGCCGCAAGGCUGAUCCAGCCAUCCAGCGUGCAGGAAGAAGGCCCUAUGGGUUGUAAACUGCUUUUAUCAGGGAAGAAACCUCUGGAUUUACUCCGGAGCUGACGGUACCUGAAGAAUAAGCACCGGCUAACUCCGUGCCAGCAGCCGCCGUAA
This 494-nucleotide ribosomal RNA is filed under the name uncultured bacterium. RNAcentral's name for it is "partial 16S ribosomal RNA". It matches the Rfam family "Bacterial small subunit ribosomal RNA", at positions 28 to 523 of the family's 1533-position model. The record is from RNAcentral.